RNAcentral lists this long non-coding RNA (389 nucleotides) under Mytilus galloprovincialis (Mediterranean mussel). Lineage: Eukaryota; Metazoa; Mollusca; Bivalvia; Mytilida; Mytilidae. The record is from RNAcentral.
UGUUACACAAUUGUGUUCCAUACAUUAAUCAGCAGGAAGCCUUUGGACACUAAUAACAAUCUGUUCGUAUAUUAUAUACAUAUAUACCCUGAAGCCAAUAAAUGACCAUGUCUACUGUGAACUAACAUGUCCAUAACCAGACGACUACGUAACCGGCCUACAGCUAUGGACCGUUUGUAAGGACCACUGGACUAUAUAAGAUCUCUCAAUGGAUUUCAAGGACAGAAUUCGAUUAGACCACAAUUCGAUUAGGACGGAUUGGUACAAGAGAUUGGUACCGGAGAUUCCGCCAAGGUCUCCCCCCUCGUGGGUAGGCUGGAACUCAUGUGCUUAAUAUCCGAAAUACUCUAACAGGAACGAACAGUUAUUCCACUAUACGAUCACGUGCC